ACAGUAGAGAAUGAUGCUUGGAAGACCAACUAAACGGGCCAUUCAGUUGGGAGCAAACUGAAUCCCACAUUGUCUAGUUACAUGAAAGUUUUAGGUUUAUAACCACGAACGAGCAAAGAGAAGAUCGUCCCUUCGGGGACAUCCGAUAAAAUUGGAACGAUACAGAGAAGAUUAGCAUGGCCCCUGCGCAAGGAUGACACGCACAAAUCGAGAAAUGGUCCAAAUUUUUUUUCUUUUUUCCCAGAUUUUGCUCUGAUUUCGCAGCAAUGUCCAUUCUCUCCGAUCAAGCUGCGCUUAUUAUGGAUUCCGCUGCGUUUGUUGUGCUCGUGCGCGGAGGUUAAUGAGCGCUUCUUAAUCUCAACCGGGAAAGUAGCAGGCAUGGCUCUCCCACAGUUCAUUCCCACAACAUCUUUGAAAGGGAAAACCCAUCCUUCAGAAAUCAGAAGUCAAGACGCUUACAGCAGUAACAUUAUUGGAACAGUUUUCGCUCCCAGGAGCGAGGAUGAGUGUAAGUCAAUAGUCCAUGUACUUCCUAUAGUGCCACCCUGGCCCAACUGCACCGCAUGCCAUAUCCUGCCGAUGAGGUCUGAGGACCUUGAAUUUAAAUGCCAAACUGUGCCAUUAAAUGACCAACCAGGAAUGCAUUGUAGUGGUGUUUGUAGACUUUGUAGCCAUGUUUGUCGAAGGAGAUUCGAAGUCGGAUUCUGUACUAUAUUUGAGAAGGAAAAUUUAUGAUUAGCAAUGAAGUUUUCUAAACGAGAUGGAAUUUACUUGUGGAGUCUGAAGAACUUCUUACCCGCAGAUGACAUUGAAGUGAAGAGGAAUCACAGGAGAAGAACUGCAAGAGCCAUGGAAAGGGAGAGUGCUCCGUUUGAUUGCAGAGUUGCUUUGCAAACGGUUCUGUGCAUACGAACAUUGCUUGAAUGCAAAGUUGAAAAAUAGCCUGGUUUACUCUUUCCCAGUUCCGGUUGCUUAAUCUAAAACCCAAUGAGAUAGUCUUGGUUUUGGUCUGUUUGAAUUUGGAAUGCAUCGUUGCUUUGCACAGUUUUGUACGUAUGAACAUCGCAUUAAUGUUAACUUUAAAAGGAGCGAAAUACUUCCCCUUGA
Molecule: long non-coding RNA, 1107 nt
Organism: Carya illinoinensis
Lineage: Eukaryota; Viridiplantae; Streptophyta; Magnoliopsida; Fagales; Juglandaceae
Exons: 2
Source: RefSeq, a predicted model, not a curated record